GACGAACGCUGGCGGCGUGCUUAACACAUGCAAGUCGAGCGGAGCGGCGAACGGGUGAGUAACGCGUGAGUAACUGCCCACCUCCCUGGGAUAACAGUUGGAAACGGGUGCCAAUACCGGAUAGUGGGGGAUGACUCGCGUCCUAUCAGCUUGUUGGUGGGGUAGGGGCAUACCAAGGCGACGACGGGUAGCCGGCCUGGGCGGGGGACCGGCCACAUUGGGCUGAGGGACGGCCCAAAGGCCAACUGGAGGCAGCAGUGGGGAAUAUUGCACAAUGGGGCAGACCCUGAGGCAGCAGCGCCGCGUGCGGGAUGUCGGCUCUCGGGUUGUAAACCGCUUUCAGCCAUGACGCGGUAGUGGCAGAAGAAGCACCGGCUAACUACGUGCCAGCAGCCGCGGUAAUUC
This 405-nucleotide ribosomal RNA is filed under the name uncultured bacterium. Its description in RNAcentral is "partial 16S ribosomal RNA". It matches the Rfam family "Bacterial small subunit ribosomal RNA", at positions 28 to 526 of the family's 1533-position model. The record is from RNAcentral.